This 253-nucleotide ribosomal RNA is filed under the name uncultured bacterium. RNAcentral describes it as "partial 16S ribosomal RNA". It matches the Rfam family "Bacterial small subunit ribosomal RNA", at positions 524 to 776 of the family's 1533-position model. The record is from RNAcentral.
UACGUAGGGCGCAAGCGUUGUCCGGAAUUAUUGGGCGUAAAGAGCUCGUAGGCGGUUUGUCGCGUCUGCUGUGAAAACCUAAGGCUCAACCUUGGGCUUGCAGUGGGUACGGGCAGACUAGAGUGCGGUAGGGGUGACUGGAAUUCCUGGUGUAGCGGUGGAAUGCGCAGAUAUCAGGAGGAACACCGAUGGCGAAGGCAGGUCACUGGGCCGCAACUGACGCUGAGGCGCGAAAGCUAGGGGAGCAAACAGG